UUUUUUUCAACUUAUUAAUAUUUAUAUAGUCAGGAUAAAUAUGUAUUUAUUUCGUUCAAGAAGGCAUCAUGAAAUGUGUCUAAUAACACCUUUGGUGAUCUGCAGUCGGAUUUCCAUGUGCAGAAAAGUGCAAUUAUUUUAGGGGCUGUUAUAUUUUCUUUGGUAGUGUAGAAGUGUCCGCCUAACAUUCGUGAGAGUUUAUUCGAAUACCUAGUGAUCAGUGUUCCUUCUAUCUAGUCUUUUAGUACACUUUCUUGCUUUUUAGAGCGUGUGCAAGGAGAUAUACUCUUGCUCAAUCAGUUACGUUUUCAAAAUUGGUCUUAGGUUGCCCGUUAUUGCAUCACGAUCCUUAUUAUGGUAUUUAAAUUAUUUGGAAUACUACUCACGCACGGUUCACGUCGUGGUUUUUAAAAGAUAUUUUAUGCUGUCAUGUUUAUGUUUUUGGAAUUGCGUUUUCAUGAUGGAAGAGCUAACCUUGUUUUCUUCUCUUUUUGAGAUGUACUUCUGGUCAUCUUCAUACCACAAUGCAGGUUUUGAGUUGGUUUUUUCAUACAAAUGGA
Molecule: long non-coding RNA, 560 nt
Filed under: Actinidia chinensis (golden kiwifruit)
Lineage: Eukaryota; Viridiplantae; Streptophyta; Magnoliopsida; Ericales; Actinidiaceae
Description: long non-coding RNA (ACHI_LNC001033)
Source: RNAcentral